AAGCAAGCCACUGCAAACUAUUUGUAUGCACCAAGAUCUAGCUGAUUGGAUUAGAGUCUGUGCCAGGCACUAGCAAACACCUUAACAUCGAUCUGAAAAGACUGAAAAGAUUCAGAAGAAUCUAGAAUUGUGAAUCAAAGUGACUCUGGCCAGAAGAUGAACAACUGUGGAUUUCUUCAGUAUAACUGGUGUGUGCCUGUUCUUAGACAUCAGGUACUUAUAAGAACAACUACUCUGGCCCCAAGUACAGCUUUCAAACGACAAACACUUCACACAGGGUCAGCCCAAGGAGGUGAAGGGGACUUCCAGGGGAUGAACGCCAACUUCAGAAAAAGAAAACGGAAGAAGGGUGUCUAGACGGCAG
Long non-coding RNA from Psammomys obesus (fat sand rat), 364 nucleotides. RefSeq lists it as uncharacterized. The record is from RefSeq and is a predicted model, not a curated record. NCBI's taxonomy places the organism in Eukaryota, Metazoa, Chordata, Mammalia, Rodentia, Muridae. The transcript is spliced from 3 exons.